AACGAACGCUGGCGGCAGGCCUAACACAUGCAAGUCGAACGAUCCUUCGGGAUAGUGGCAGACGGGUGAGUAACGCGUGGGAACCUACCUUGGGGUUUGGAAUAACUGACGGAAACGGCAGCUAAUACCAAAUACGUCCUUCGGGAGAAAGAUUUAUCGCCCCUAGAUGGGCCCGCGUUGGAUUAGCUUGUUGGUGAGGUAAUGGCUCACCAAGGCUACGAUCUAUAGCUGGUCUGAGAGGAUGAUCAGCCACACUGGGACUGAGACACGGCCCAG
RNAcentral lists this ribosomal RNA (276 nucleotides) under uncultured bacterium. RNAcentral describes it as "partial 16S ribosomal RNA". It matches the Rfam family "Bacterial small subunit ribosomal RNA", at positions 29 to 334 of the family's 1533-position model. The record is from RNAcentral.